AUGCCUCCUCUGCCCCGAAACGACGGCGGCAGGGACGCUGACGCCCUCACCCGCCUUCCACCUCCCCCAGCUCGCCUUGUCGCCGGUCGAUUUGGAGGAGCCUCCUUUCGCGCGCCACCGUGGUCGGGCUGCGGCGACCACCAGAGGUCCGCCGCCGGCAGGAGCUCUCUCCUUCUCCACCAUGAGGCACCAGCAGACGAGGAUGAUUCCUUCUUCCACCCCUAG
RNAcentral lists this ribosomal RNA (225 nucleotides) under Triticum aestivum (bread wheat). Its description in RNAcentral is "partial small subunit ribosomal RNA". Lineage: Eukaryota; Viridiplantae; Streptophyta; Magnoliopsida; Poales; Poaceae. The record is from RNAcentral.